Molecule: ribosomal RNA, 795 nt
Filed under: Staphylococcus saprophyticus
Lineage: Bacteria; Bacillati; Bacillota; Bacilli; Caryophanales; Staphylococcaceae
Description: bacterial SSU rRNA
Rfam family: Bacterial small subunit ribosomal RNA
Source: RNAcentral
CUAUACAUGCAAGUCGAGCGAACAGAUAAGGAGCUUGCUCCUUUGACGUUAGCGGCGGACGGGUGAGUAACACGUGGGUAACCUACCUAUAAGACUGGGAUAACUUCGGGAAACCGGAGCUAAUACCGGAUAACAUUUGGAACCGCAUGGUUCUAAAGUGAAAGAUGGUUUUGCUAUCACUUAUAGAUGGACCCGCGCCGUAUUAGCUAGUUGGUAAGGUAACGGCUUACCAAGGCGACGAUACGUAGCCGACCUGAGAGGGUGAUCGGCCACACUGGAACUGAGACACGGUCCAGACUCCUACGGGAGGCAGCAGUAGGGAAUCUUCCGCAAUGGGCGAAAGCCUGACGGAGCAACGCCGCGUGAGUGAUGAAGGGUUUCGGCUCGUAAAACUCUGUUAUUAGGGAAGAACAAAUGUGUAAGUAACUGUGCACGUCUUGACGGUACCUAAUCAGAAAGCCACGGCUAACUACGUGCCAGCAGCCGCGGUAAUACGUAGGUGGCAAGCGUUAUCCGGAAUUAUUGGGCGUAAAGCGCGCGUAGGCGGUUUCUUAAGUCUGAUGUGAAAGCCCACGGCUCAACCGUGGAGGGUCAUUGGAAACUGGGAAACUUGAGUGCAGAAGAGGAAAGUGGAAUUCCAUGUGUAGCGGUGAAAUGCGCAGAGAUAUGGAGGAACACCAGUGGCGAAGGCGACUUUCUGGUCUGUAACUGACGCUGAUGUGCGAAAGCGUGGGGAUCAAACAGGAUUAGAUACCCUGGUAGUCCACGCCGUAAACGAUGAGUGCUAAGUGUUAG